This 849-nucleotide ribosomal RNA is filed under the name Klebsiella sp. Its description in RNAcentral is "bacterial SSU rRNA". It matches the Rfam family "Bacterial small subunit ribosomal RNA", at positions 16 to 854 of the family's 1533-position model. Lineage: Bacteria; Pseudomonadati; Pseudomonadota; Gammaproteobacteria; Enterobacterales; Enterobacteriaceae. The record is from RNAcentral.
AUCCUGGCUCAGAUUGAACGCUGGCGGCAGGCCUAACACAUGCAAGUCGAGCGGUAGCACAGAGAGCUUGCUCUCGGGUGACGAGCGGCGGACGGGUGAGUAAUGUCUGGGAAACUGCCUGAUGGAGGGGGAUAACUACUGGAAACGGUAGCUAAUACCGCAUAAUGUCGCAAGACCAAAGUGGGGGACCUUCGGGCCUCAUGCCAUCAGAUGUGCCCAGAUGGGAUUAGCUAGUAGGUGGGGUAACGGCUCACCUAGGCGACGAUCCCUAGCUGGUCUGAGAGGAUGACCAGCCACACUGGAACUGAGACACGGUCCAGACUCCUACGGGAGGCAGCAGUGGGGAAUAUUGCACAAUGGGCGCAAGCCUGAUGCAGCCAUGCCGCGUGUGUGAAGAAGGCCUUCGGGUUGUAAAGCACUUUCAGCGGGGAGGAAGGCGGUGAGGUUAAUAACCUUGUCGAUUGACGUUACCCGCAGAAGAAGCACCGGCUAACUCCGUGCCAGCAGCCGCGGUAAUACGGAGGGUGCUAGCGUUAAUCGGAAUUACUGGGCGUAAAGCGCACGCAUGGGGGCUGUCCAGUCGGAUGUGAAAUCCCCGGGCUCAACCUGGGAACUGCAUUCGAAACUGGCAGGCUAGAGUCUUGUAGAGGGGGGUAGAAUUUCCAGGUGUAGCGGUGAAAUGCGUAGAGAUCUGGAGGAAUACCGGUGGGGAAGGCGGCCCCCCUGGACAAAGACUGACGCUCAGGUGCGAAAGCGUGGGGAGCAAACAGGAUUAGAUACCCUGGUAGUCCACGCUGUAAACGAUGUCGAUUUGGAGGUUGUGCCCUUGAGGCGUGGCUUCCGGAGCUA